AUCACCUCAUCUUCGAUUGAGUCUCUGCUCUCACUCUUCACAGUAGACUCUUUAUUCUCCAGGGCUUGCUAGCUCACUCUCCCUUUUCCUGUCCAAUCUCACCUAGCUAAUCCAACUCAUCCUCUAUCCCUGGCCCUUGUUAUUAACUCCAUCCCUCCCCAACUCAAUCGAUUUACCUUCUUGCAUGUCAUCUCUUUAACCAACAAUCGGUUAACCGGUCUACUACCAUCUCGCUGUCAUAGCUGAUCUGGUUUCAAGUGACUCACCGGCUCUAUACAUCAAACCCCAACCCAACAAGAAACUCAUCGUGAGGGGCCAUA
RNAcentral lists this long non-coding RNA (320 nucleotides) under Jatropha curcas. RNAcentral's name for it is "long non-coding RNA (JCUR_LNC000722)". Lineage: Eukaryota; Viridiplantae; Streptophyta; Magnoliopsida; Malpighiales; Euphorbiaceae. The record is from RNAcentral.